UACGUAGGAUGCAAGCGUUGUCCGGAUUUAUUGGGUUUAAAGGGUGCGCAGGCGGCCUAUUAAGUUAGUGGUGAAAACGUUCGGCUUAACUGGAUACCCGCCAUUGAUACUGAUAGACUUGAGUGCGACAGAGGGUGUUGGAAUGUGUGGUGUAGCGGUGAAAUGCUUAGAUAUCACGCAGAACACCAAUUGCGAAGGCAGAUGCCUAUGUCGUAACUGACGCUGAGGCACGAAAGCUUGGGGAGCAAACAGG
RNAcentral lists this ribosomal RNA (253 nucleotides) under uncultured bacterium. RNAcentral describes it as "partial 16S ribosomal RNA". It matches the Rfam family "Bacterial small subunit ribosomal RNA", at positions 524 to 776 of the family's 1533-position model. The record is from RNAcentral.